AAAUGUUUCCCAAAAACAUUUCAUUUCCCGCAUCUCCUCCUUCCCCUUCUCUAGUUACUGUUCCCGCUUCUCUCUCCUUCCCCUCUCCGGUUCUCUGCUCCUUCCCCUUCUCUAGCUUCUAACAAGGAGCGAAAUUCAACAUUCACAGCACACACCACACGACUAGCCGCGUCGCCGCGUAGCCACUGAUGUUCCCCCACCGUCGUGUCGCCGCUGCUAUUCCCCCACCGCCGAAUUCGUCAUCUUCCUACCGCCGCCGCCGCGCAGCACACACGCGUCGCUCCUCCUAUCGGUUAUAGGUUUGUAAUUUAAGACCUAACUUUUAUUUGAUUAUUUGUUUCCUAUAAACUUGUUACAUUGUAUUAUCGUUGGAGGUGGUCCAACCGGUGUUUCAGCGGCGAACUGAAUGAUUUCAUAAAAGGCGAUGUUAGCUAGAGGUAUUAUCAUGUGAAAGACCGCAACAAGGUCACUCUUAUUGAGUCGGGUGUGUGUCUUAUGCCCGGAAUUGUGAGAGAAGUUGAGAAGGAGAAGAUUGUUCUUACUGAUGGAACAGAAGUACCAUAUUGAAUUUUGGUCUGGUCUACAAGUGUUGGUCCUUCUCAGUUUAUAAAAUCCCUUAACCUUCCAAAGUGCCCCGGUGAAAGAAUUGGUACUACUGGUUGAAGAAACUGUAAGGUCAGAGAAUUAUCGAUCCCCUGAGAGACCCAUUUAUCUUGUUGGAGAUUCAAUUGGUGGGUGUCUUGCAUUAGCUGUGGGUGCUCGAAAUCCUGAUAUUGGUCUUGUACUCAUUCUGGUUAAUCCCGGUACCUCCUUUGUACCGUGGUUUCUGUCUACAUCAAAUUGAACGAGGCUUCCUGGAAGAUCUUUUGAAAGACCUUGUUGAGAUGUGUCGUGUUGUUUAAAAUCCUAUUCAUGGUCUUUUCUCGAGAAGCUGGUUGCAAGUGACAAGAGACAAGCUUCCUGAUAUUGUCUAAGAGAAUGAAGGGUUUAUUGCUGGAAAGGUCUUCGAUUAUCAACUCUACAUGACUUGGAAGACUUUUCUACAUUCAUGAAUUUGAUAUUGAAGGGGGUAUGCCACGGGAACUACUCCUGUUACUGAAGUAAGGUCCAAGUAUCAAGCAAAGCCAAUUGACAGGUGUAAACGUGCGAUGAAGGAUGAAAGUAAGGAUUAUGUACCUUCAUCCGAAGAUAAUCAGCAGGGAAAUGGUUAUACAACAAAUCUAGAUCAAGUGCGGCUCAUUUAUAGGCCAAGUGCGGCUCAUUUAUAAGCCAAGUGCGGCUCAUUUAUAUAUCAAGUGCGGGCUCAUUUUCAAAUUUGGCAGCUCCAAAUAUGUCAAGUGCGGGCUCAUUUUCAAUAUUGGCAGCACCAAAUAUGUCAAGUGCGGGUUCAUUUUCAAAAUUGGCAGCACCAAAUAUGUUAAGUGCGGGCUCAUUUUCUAAAAUUGGCAGCACAAAAUAUGUCAAAUGCGGGCUCAUUUUCUAAAUUGGCAGCACUUGAAACAUCAAGUGCUGCCAAUAUUUUGGCAGCACUUGAAAAACAUCAAGUGCGGGCAGACCAUGUGCUGCACAUGUAAAAGCCCGCACUAAACCCCUUAAAAUGAGCCCGCACUUGAGGUUUUUUCCUCUAGUGAUGGAAUGAUAUAUUUCAACAAUUAGUUAGACAAAGUGAUUUUCUAAACAAUACCAAGUAUUUUUUAAUCAUAAAACUAUUGAUUGUUGGGUGGAUGAUAGAUUAUACUGAUGGAAUUUUAAUUACUGUGGUGGGUUUGGACGG
Molecule: long non-coding RNA, 1774 nt
Organism: Spinacia oleracea (spinach)
Lineage: Eukaryota; Viridiplantae; Streptophyta; Magnoliopsida; Caryophyllales; Amaranthaceae
Exons: 7
Source: RefSeq, a predicted model, not a curated record